UGCAAGUCGAACGGCAGCACAGGAGAGCUUGCUCUCUGGGUGGCGAGUGGCGGACGGGUGAGGAAUACAUCGGAAUCUACUUUUUCGUGGGGGAUAACGUAGGGAAACUUACGCUAAUACCGCAUACGACCUACGGGUGAAAGCAGGGGAUCUUCGGACCUUGCGCGAUUGAAUGAGCCGAUGUCGGAUUAGCUAGUUGGCGGGGUAAAGGCCCACCAAGGCGACGAUCCGUAGCUGGUCUGAGAGGAUGAUCAGCCACACUGGAACUGAGACACGGUCCAGACUCCUACGGGAGGCAGCAGUGGGGAAUAUUGGACAAUGGGCGCAAGCCUGAUCCAGCCAUACCGCGUGGGUGAAGAAGGCCUUCGGGUUGUAAAGCCCUUUUGUUGGGAAAGAAAUCCAGCUGGUUAAUACCCGGUUGGGAUGACGGUACCCAAAGAAUAAGCACCGGCUAACUUCGUGCCAGCAGCCGCGGUAAUACGAAGGGUGCAAGCGUUACUCGGAAUUACUGGGCGUAAAGCGUGCGUAGGUGGUCGUUUAAGUCCGUUGUGAAAGCCCUGGGCUCAACCUGGGAACUGCAGUGGAUACUGGACGACUAGAGUGUGGUAGAGGGUAGCGGAAUUCCUGGUGUAGCAGUGAAAUGCGUAGAGAUCAGGAGGAACAUCCAUGGCGAAGGCAGCUACCUGGACCAACACUGACACUGAGGCACGAAAGCGUGGGGAGCACACAGGAUUAGAUACCCUGGUAGUCCACGCCCUAGACGAUGCGAACUGGAUGUUGGGUGCAAUUUGGCACGCAGUAUCGAAGCUAACGCGUUAAGUUCGCCGCCUGGGGAGUACGGUCGCAAGACUGAAACUCAUAGGAAUUGACGGGGGCCCGCACAAGCGGUGGAGUAUGUGGUUUAAUUCAAUGCAACGCGAAGAACCUUACCUGGCCUUGACAUGUCGAGAACUUUCCAGAGAUGGAUUGGUGCCUUCGGGAACUCGAACACAGGUGCUGCAUGGCUGUCGUCAGCUCGUGUCCUGACAUG
This 1030-nucleotide ribosomal RNA is filed under the name Stenotrophomonas maltophilia. Its description in RNAcentral is "bacterial SSU rRNA". It matches the Rfam family "Bacterial small subunit ribosomal RNA", at positions 56 to 1074 of the family's 1533-position model. Lineage: Bacteria; Pseudomonadati; Pseudomonadota; Gammaproteobacteria; Lysobacterales; Lysobacteraceae. The record is from RNAcentral.